GGAAUAUUGCGCAAUGGGCGAAAGCCUGACGCAGCCAUACCGCGUGUGUGAAGAAGGCCUUCGGGUUGUAAAGCACUUUCAGUGGGGAGGAAAAGCUGGUGGCUAAUAUCCAUCGGCCGUGACGCUACCCACAGAAGAAGCACCGGCUAAUUCCGUGCCAGCAGCCGCGGUAAUACGGAAGGUGCGAGCGUUAAUCGGAAUUACUGGGCGUAAAGCGCACGUAGGUGGCUUGGUAAGUCGGAUGUGAAAGCCCCGGGCUCAACCUGGGAACUGCAUUCGAUACUGCUGAGCUAGAGUACGAAAGAGGGGGGUGGAAUUCCAGGUGUAGCGGUGAAAUGCGUAGAGAUCUGGAGGAACACCAGUGGCGAAGGCGGCCCCCUGGUUCGAUACUGACGCUGAGGUGCGAAAGCGUGGGGAGCAAA
Molecule: ribosomal RNA, 422 nt
Filed under: uncultured bacterium
Lineage: Bacteria
Description: bacterial SSU rRNA
Rfam family: Bacterial small subunit ribosomal RNA
Source: RNAcentral